Molecule: ribosomal RNA, 2344 nt
Filed under: Triticum aestivum (bread wheat)
Lineage: Eukaryota; Viridiplantae; Streptophyta; Magnoliopsida; Poales; Poaceae
Description: partial small subunit ribosomal RNA
Source: RNAcentral
UAAAAGAACCGUCGGCAAGUAGUUCCUCAGUUGCGGGAAGGGUAGCGGUCUGUGUCACUAUCCGACUGUCGUGACCCGCCUCAGUUCCGGGAAGGGUAGCUGUCACUAUCUGACUGUCGUGGCCCGCGGGAACAGGAUGCCGAGGUGUGGGUGGAGGGGGGCGGGAGGCGGCUCAGCGCGGAGAAGAGGAUGGCCGGGCCGCCGCGAACGCGGCUUCAGAGGGCGGCAAGGUGCCGGCGCGCAACGGGACGGCCAAAGAAACCUUCUCUUACCGCCCUCCGUCACUCCGAUCCCCGCCCCUCACGCCGAUGAUGUGCUGCCUGCUGCGCGAGAGGGUCCACCCGAAGCCCUCCAAGGUCCGCGACCACGACCGGAUGCGGCCGCACCCGACCUGGCGCCUCCGGUACCUCUAGUACUACGACAGGAAGCAGCCGGGCAGGCACUUCCUGCUCACCCCUUAGAGCCCGGUCGUCCUCCCCGAGUAGUGGUCGCAGCAGAAGCGGCCCUACUAGUAGCCCCCGAAGGAGCCCCCGCAGUAGAGCCUGAGCAUACCGUCUUCCAUAUAUAUAGUACUUGAUAGUUAACCGAGAACAGUCAGUCUCGCUGUUUAAAGGCCUCUAUAAAAAACAAAGACGCCCUAAUUGGUUUAGUCUUAUUGAAUAGGGGGACUUACGUUUGAGGGUGGACAUCAUUAUUUUUGUUACGUAUGUAUACGUAGUAGAUAUACUUCAUUUGAAAUCCCCUUAUAAUACCACUUAAAUAAGACACUUCGUUUCGUUCGAAGAAAGAACUUCUUCACAUCGAUUCAUGUUUACUAUGACUUCAAGUAGAACUUAAUAACUCCCUUUUUUCCUUGACUUUUAAGUACAACGUGAGGUAUUACAGACAUAAACUAAGGGGUUUUGUUUAAAUUGUCUAACAAAAUUUUUUUUAAGUAACAGUCCUAACCAAAAGAUAAGUGGCGCCAACAGUGACCGUAUAAACCAAAAGAGUCACGAAACAGUGGAUUGAUGUACACGGAUAAUUGGGAGGCGAAAUAACAGCCAUACCCUAACCCACGACCAGUACAAGAACCAUGUACCAAGGAUCUCAAACAAGGACGACGUUUGUCCCCAUGAACCCACCAACAGAAGGUAACAUGAACCUGAAAACCUUGUUAGGAAGUCCGAGAAUAACGUACCCGAUAGUACGGUCAUGAACCUACCUCCACCAACUAUCGCAACAGAAGUUGUGGUACAAAGUAAGACGAAUAAAAGAUACCAUAUUGUGGACUUAGUGGUGCCAUGGAGACGAGUUCUCCAUCUUGUCGACUACGAGUUAAAUAAAACCUCUCUUAUCGUUAUUACUUGUUGUACCGAGACGGGAGACCGUGGAAUUAUCAACGGGGUGUUUCUUCCAGACUACUACAACAACUACGCCUCUGUUAUCAUGGCGACUAAGAAAGUGUUCUAUCACGACGUUGACUGCAAACGUACUCGAGGAGAUAUAGGUCUAGAUAAUUACGUAAGGCAUGUGAACACAGUGCUUCGGACUAAUCUAGAUGUGAAGAAGAAACCAAACAGAUGAAACGGAAAACAAAACGAAUGAUACCAUAUCAUAACGAUUGUAGCCUUGAUUCGUUACCACCUUCCUCUACACCUGGACAACCUUACGUAAACACCGUCGCUUUACUACGGUCUGAGAUGUCUCUACAGGACCACUGUUCAUAACGCCUUAAAGGACCAGACUAAAACCGCCGAGAUAAACAACUGUUUCAACCAGCGUUUGACAGUUACCCUCGCAAACGAAAAGACACGGAACAAAGGUAGCGUGGUGAACGACGUGGAGAUCUUCUUCCAAAUCGUUGGCAGGAAGAUAAGUCACGGGCCUGAACAUAGUGUCCUUCAAUACGACAAGAGAUAUAAAUGCCGGGACUCUAGAUGGGAAGUAGUACAGCCUUGUGGCCUCACCCACAGCGCUGAAGAGAGCCGGCCUAUCCACCGUACUAACGGGGUGAGUAUCGACAUCCUAACGAUCUCUCGACAGUAGUCUUUCUUCGACACAAACAGAAGCUAGAACAUGAGAAAGAACGUAGUCAACGGACACGGGAGAAGGGAGAUCUCUGGUUUCCGACGGUCUAAGUCAUUCUAGAGUCCGAGGUGUUAAAAAUACCUACCUACAUAUGGGUGGGUAGUCUAAUCUAAUGUCGAUGGUAUGUUGAUGUAAACGGUCCUUCGUAGUAUAACGGGGAUGAAAUCUCGCGUUAAUAACAUGUUUAUGAAGACUUUAUUUACUUUACCUUUAGGAGGUUGAAGAGUGGCGAGUAAGUUAGUUAUACAGUUUAGGACCGAGUAUCGUCAAGAGG